AAAUACUGCUCCAUACAAAAAUCAAUGAGAUGUGGCAUAAUUUAUAUCAAUAUAUAAAGCUAAUUGCUGCAGAAAACAUCUGUUACGGAAACCUCUAUGCCAUACUAGAAGUCAGAAUGUAGGAACUAAGGAGAGAGGUUGGUUUCGUUACACAUAUGUCGUAGCUCAGGCAGGUUCUGAAUUGCGUUAAUACGAUUCCCUAGUGAAGAUAUAUCUCACUUCUCAGCCCCUCGGUGUUUAAUCAAGUGACUAAGCUGUGCUUUUCUUGCUUCUAAAGUUUUCCUUCAGUAAUGCAAAUUUUUUCUUGCAUUGGUUUACGGUCUUCCCAGGAACAGCGGUGGCUACUCGUUCCCAACGCUGACUGGUUUCCUUUGGGAAUGUCUUCAGAGCCUGAAUCAGUGCUCUUUCUUGUACAGCAGACCAUACAUCUUGUUCCGAACUUGAUGAAACACCAUUGCCAGAAACCACAUCGACAGGACUACUUCCAGUUUUACCCGAGUCCUCAGGGCUACUUGUCUUCGCAGUUGUGUUUUCAGUCCUUGAAGGCAUAGAAACUACUCCUACUUCCUCCCUAGUGGAAAGUGGAGAUGCAAUAGUUGCCGCCGGUUUCCUCUUCUCGAGAAAAGAGUCAAAUGCUUUGGUAGCAUCAGGCUUCUGGAGGAGUACUGUUUUGGUAGCUUUUAGAAUCUCUUCCACAGACCGACCCGUUCCAAUGUACUCUGAAAUAACCUCCCACCUACGAGAUGUCCCAUUCGGAUAUUUCUGGGUUCCUUUUCUCAAAAGCUCAAUCUCUUCCUUGGUCCAAGGUUUCUCCUUCUUCUCAAAGCUGCUAAUCGAGAGGAUACUUCCAUUUGAAUCCACAGAACCAUUCAGAUGUGAACCAUUCGUUUCAUCAAUUUUUUUCCCUUCAGUGUUGCUAUUGUAUCCACGGGCAUCUUGGAUAAGUUUAGCCCGCUCUAAUGCUUCUUUGUUAUCCAUCUUAUCACAUAAACUUCUAAGCUGCUCAAUGCCAAGGGUCAUACAUAAACUUUCUACAUCCUCCUCAGAAAGAUCAUGUAAAUGUUGCAAUAAAACAGGUGCAGAAAGUGUUCGAAGUCGAGUUCGCUCUUUCCGGAGGAGCUUCUUCUCUUUCUCCUUAUUUUUCUUAUGCUGUAAAGCAGCUUCGGCAGCUCGUUUAUCCUCCUCCUCUUUCCGGCGUCUCUCCUCUUCAGCAGCCCUAGCAGCUUCUUCCUCCUGCAACUGCUUUGCACGAACCUUGGCUUCUUUUUUCCUCUGUUUCUCAGCUUUCUCCUCUUCCUUCCUCCUAAGUAUUCUUGGGUCUCUUUUAUAUGCAUUAUCAACAAGUGCACGAAUCCGAGCAUAUUCCUCCUUCCUAGCCUUCUCAGAAAGUUUUGCAUUCUGCCUCUCCAUCCACCUUUUAUGGUCCCGAGACUCAGCUUGUUCGAGGUCAUACUCAUCCGCAUGUGGGAAUUCCCUCCAGCUUUUGAAACUAUACCAAAAAUUAUAGAAAUUGUCUACAUCUUUUAGCGGAGUACUGUCAUCUCCUAAAGACGGGAUAGGCUGGGUCACCGACCAUCGCCCAUUCCUCAUGAAAGCUGGACCAAACACCUUGAAGAAGUCUUGUGGGGCACAUUCGGUAGGAAUUUCAUCAUCAAACUCAUCAGUGGAGUCAUAGAUUCUUCUCCUUACAGGAUCGAUCAAAAUCUCAUAUGCUUCUUGGAUGGACUUGAAGUGAUUCUCAAUUUCAUCCUUCUUAGCUUGUUUUGCAGCCUCCGUCUCCUCUGCAAGAAGAAGAUUCGCAAGUUUGUCAGGAUGAUGUCUCAAGGCAGCUUCACGGUAACUUUUCCUUAUCUGAUCCUCAGUGGCAAGAUAUCUUAAAUGGCUCAACCCAAGCAAUGCAUAGUGAUCUUGCUGCUUGCCAUCAGCACCAGAUUUCUUUUUCCCUUUGUUGCUAUACGAAUCAGAUGAUGGCAUAUACGCUUGCUCCUUAUCAUUACCGACUUUCUGAUCAUCAACUUCAGUAGUAUCAUCUUCCUCACAGCCAAAGAGUUUAAGAGCAGCAUUAUGAAAGGCAUGGCCAGCCGGUUCAUAUUUUAAAGCCUUAACAGGAAGGCAAUUUGAAGAAACAUAGAGUGGCUGUCCGUCCACAAGCUCCUGAGAAUACGAUAUAAGCUGAAUGCUUGUGCGGACCGCCAUAAUGUUUAUGGUGGAUACACAAACCACAAAAGGACAAUAAAUGCCAAAACCAAUAUCUGGGAAUAGCUUUUGCUAGUUUGACAAUCUGCAAAAAGUCGCAAUCAGCUCAGCUUGUGUUAAUACGUUCAAAACAGAUAUAUAAUGAUGCAACCAAAAGAUUAUUUCACGAUAUCGGCUCGGUGAGCAGGAACCAUUCGGUUAGCUUAGCCCUACAGUACCAGACUGCUCGAUCGGAGCUAACAAAUGUACGAUUAAAGAAACAGAAAGACCAGAAAGAAAACAUAAAUUAUCUCUUCAUCCACAACCCCCAACCACAAUCAUUCCUAAAAUAAAAAUCAUUACUUGAAACCUCCGUUACCCGGACUCGGCAGUUAGGGGUGCCGUACCGGUAUCGACACGGAUUCCGACACUGGACACGGAUCAGAUCCCGCGAAAUCGACGGACGCGGCGGUGGGAGAACUGAGAAGAAAAAACGAUGACAGGAAAGAUAAAAAGGAGGAGGAUACACGGCUGCGGCGAUAGUAGAGAUCUGAUAAAAGCCCCUAACGGCAGUCGGUCGGCAACAACAGAGAAGAAGAUAACAUGUACUCGUAACUUUUACAGUUUUAGUUCCUAGGGUUUUAUUGUUAAUGAUGGGGUUUUAUGGUUACCUUGGAUUAACGGGCGAGGAGGCAAUGAAUGUUAUUGGUGACGCAGUUUCCUUUGAUCCGAAACUCGGGAAUUACAUAUGUGCAUGUGUAUAUAUAUAAUGUAAGUAAAAGGGUAAAUGCGUCGGCUUUCGGCCGAGUAUGGAAGAUAAGCACGGCACGCAACUGAGACACUUGGGUUAGCCCAAAUCUUAAGCCUAAUUACUCAAAAUAGGGGCGCAUUUUAUUUUAUUUUAUUUUUCACUUAAAAGAUAAACUCGAACAAAAUUUAUUAGUUAGGAUUAGAUAUGAUUAUGGGUUAGGUCUGAUCGGGUUUAAGUCAAAUCGAUAUAAAUUUUUAAGUUUAUUUUUUAGGUUUAGAUCUGGUUGGAUUUAAAAAAUGAGCUUAAAAUUUUGUUUAAACUUGACUCAAAUUGACAAUGCUAUCCUCGAGUUCGGCUGGUUCGCCCGUAUUAAAUUUUUAUAUUAUUUUUAAUAUAAAAACAAGUUUAAAAAAUAUAAUACAUCAAAUGUACUAAAAAUAUUAAAAUAAAUAUUUUCAACAAAUUGAAAAUACAUUAAAAAAUUAUACUUAAAUAACAAUAAGAUAGUUGCAACUUAGCAAGCAAAUGUCUCUAAAAUAAUAGCAAAAUUAAGGGUCCGUUUGAUUGCUAGUAAAAUGUUUUCCGUAAAAUGAUUUCUGGAAAAUGUUUUACUUUUCUGUAAAAUAAUUUACUGGAAAAUAUUUUCUAGUGUUUGAUUGAAUCUGUGUAAAAUAUUUUCUGCUGUUUGACAGAUUUCCUGAAAAUAUUUUCCGGAAAAGUUAUUUUUUACAUAUAUUAAUAAAUUUUUAUAUUUUAAAUUGCUUUUACAUAUAUUGCAAUGAUUUAUUUAUAAUAAUACUCAAUUAUUAAGCUACAAUAUUGAUUGUUAAAAAUUGAAAAAAUAUUAUCCACAAUGAGUACUAGUAAUAAUAUUGAAUAAUUAUAAAUUGCUUCGAAACCACAAUGAGUACUAGAAAUAAUUUAUCCAAAUACAUACUUAGUAGUAUACCACAUAGUAACAGCAUUGUCCAAGUGUAUAAUAUUACACCACAUAAAUGUAUCAAUAUCUUUAACCCUGAGAAAAUUUUUGAAGCCAAAUUUUUCUAUGCUUCUUACUUUUAACUAAAAAAACUUUGGUUGUAUCUUUAAUUAAAUUAUAGAGACCAAUUUGAUAUAGAUUCUAGUUUGAGAAUAUACUAAUCAGAUUUUUCGUAAAAGAUUUUGAUAUCGAUUACUUGUAAAUAAAGAAAAACGAAUAAAUUCACAAAAAAAGAUAAAGAAAAACGAAUAAUCCAUAUUUCAUUAUGUUGUAUCUUUAAUUAAAUUAUUAUCCAUAAAGUUGGUAAAAAAUAAUUUUUUAGUAUUGUUCGUGCAUUAGUCGGUGUGAAAUGUUUUAGUCAGUGUACACUAUACGAAUCAAAAUUAAAAUCGGUGUAAGAAAAAAUUUUAGUUAUUCUAAUUUAUUAUUCAAACGGCAUCCACCAAGAAAUGCAACCAAAACCAAUGUACAACCUACUACAUUAAAACAGAAACUGUGCCAUUUGCUUAACCCACAAUCUUUCCACAACCAUAUCAUGAAGCAGUUUUACACUCAAAGUGUUUGCACAACUAUUUAAAACCAUCCACAUGCUAUGAAUUUGUUCUUGUUAGCUCUACCCCAUUCUCUUUUAGCAUCAUUGGAAUAAUAUCUCUUAAUUGGGAUAAUAUCAACAAUGCAGCACCGCCAUAUACGAAACUGAAACCUUGAUAAAUGAAAUGAAAUAUUGAACUGAAAUUGCAUUAUGCUCAAUUAUGACUAUUUUCUAUAUAAGAGCGUGUUAAAAGCUAUGCCUCCAAAUGAGGCUCUACGGCACAAAUGCAAGUUUCAUUUACCAGCUUUUCUUUCACUUCUCACAACCAGUCAAAGAUCCUCACCUUGGCCUGCUUUGGGAGGGAAGGCUUGAAAGAUAUGAAAUGGCAGCAGAAGGUAAGACAGAUACUUAAAAACAUGAACCACAAAUUCCUAUAUAUGUAGCUGUGAAACAAAUAUUCAACUACUCUGGAGAACAAAGGUAAAGCAGAUACUUAAAAACAUGAACCACAAACCCUGCUUACGUAAUGCUAGACUUAAAGCAUAACAAGAAUCAUUUACCAGCUUUUCUUUCACUUUUCACAACCAGUCAAAGAUCCUCACCUUGGCCUGCUUUGGGAGGGAAGGCUUGAAAGAUAUGAAAUGGCUGCAGAAGGUAAAACAUAUACUUAAAACAGAAUCACUUAAACCAAAAAAAAAAAAAAAAAGAAAAUGAAGAAGCUAAUUUCUUGUUCUUCAACAUCAAAUGUUGUAAUUCUUUGAACAUAUUAUUAUCAGAUGCAUAUACAUAUAUACAAAUCUGAGUACGAGUAACAUAAUAUGGAUACGAUGAAGCAUUGCACGAAAUAGAACGUGCAAAACAGAAUAAUAAAACAAAAUCGAAGUAGAAAUCAUUUUCUGAACGAAACUUAAAUUUGCAUUUCUUUUUUCAUAUAAUUCUAGAAUUUUCCUAUCAACCAAACAGAGACUUAAAAAGAAUCCAUUAUAAUAAAAUACUCUUUAAGAAUUGCAUGAACAGUUAGUAAACGAGAUAGUGACAAACAAACAGAAAAAACACAGAAUUUCGAUCAAAAACCGAAAAUUAAAAGAAAAAAAACACUUUGAUAAAAACAGCGAAACAAGCUUCGAUCUGCUAAAAAAUACACUUAAAAUCAAACAAAAAAAGCACGCACAGAUCAGUGAGAGCAGAGGUGACAUUUAACAUAAACAGGGGCCAAAAUCUUUCUAACUAUGGACAAGAAACCGAUUCACAAAACUAUGGAGAAGAAAAUAUAACUUUCUAAAGCAAGUCUGUGAAGAAAGUCUGCCCAAGACAAGCCAAACAGCACAGCCAAACUAGCAGAAAACCCAAGCAAGAUCUCAGACAAAAACAAGCAGAAAAUCCCCAAAUCAAUUUAUAAAAAGAAGAAAUCAAGGGGGAAAAGGAGCCAGAAACCAAAUCAAGGGAGAACGAAAGGGAGAAGGGAGAACGAACGGGAGAACAAAACCAGGUCGGUGUAGGGAGGAGAAGGGAGAACAAGAGUGUAGAGAAGGGAGAACGCUGGAAAAAUCGGAAAAUGUCUUACUGAUUCCAAAUCGGUAAGACAUUUUCCAAAAUUAAAGGCUUCUUUUUCCCGUGUUUGUAAUUGAUUUUAUGUGAGGAAAAUAUUUUCCUCCAAUCAAACACUGGAAAAUGGGGAAAAUCAAUUCCGAAAAAUAUUUUCCCCCUAUCAAACAGACCCUAAGAAUAAAACAAAAGUUAUGUAAUAUCCAAACAAAAAAAAUAGUAACAAUAUAAUAGUAAAAUAAUAGUAAAAUAACAAUAAAAAAAGUUUAAGCUCAUUUAGACCUUGGCAGAAAAAAUCUACUUGAGACCUAACAUCUUUAGAAAAUGAAUCUUUUUUUUGUCCAAAUCCAUUCUUGAUUUUAUAUUUUUAUUCAAACCCCCACACUUUUCAAGCGGACUUUUAAGCCUGAGUGAGUGACUCGACCCAUGAUCAGGUCUAGUUGAGACCGAUUUCAUAUUUAAAGAGAAUCAGUAAAAAUGUCUUUCUAGUCCCUCUUAAUUUUGAUAUUAAGUAAAUUGAUCUCUCUUAAAAAAUUAGAGCAAUUUAGUGCUUACUAAUUUCAAAAGUGAACAACUAAAGACAAUUAAUUACGGUGUUAACAUUCUCAUCAGUUAUAUAUAAUUUUGAUUGAUAUAAUAGCAAAUUUAACUCUCAAUGUUUAUGUAUUUUGUGUUACUGUUGAUGGAAUGUCUAAAUGUUUCAAGCCAAAAUUUUAAAUAAAUAUGUAAAUUUUAAAAAUUAAAUUUAUUAUUAUUCCAAUAAAAAUAUUUAUAUUUGAUGAAAAAUAUUAAUAUUAUAAUUAAUUGUCCUUACUUACUCAUUUUCGAAAUUAAUUGAAAUUAAUUUUUUGAAAGGAUCAAUUUACUCAACAGCAUUUCUAAUUUAGUUUGGUUAAUUUAUUUAAAACUACUUAAAUAUAAAAUUUAAUUCAGUUUAAAUAAUUGUGAUGAGGCAGGGAAGAACAUUCACCCUAAAACAUGAUGAAAUUAUAAGUUAGCCUUUCAAAAUAAUUUUUAAAUAAAUAAGUUAAUUAUAAAAUUAUCUUUUUUAACUUAUAUUUUAAAAAAUUAAAUUAAAAUCUUAUCAUUUUAGAAGUUAAAAAAGUAUAAUUUUACUAGCCUGCUGCCGUUUAUAUCUUCAAGUUUAAAAUUUUAGGUGGUCCUGUCACAUCAUUUGAUUGAUUAACAACUGGACUAAUGAGAUAGAGAAAAAUGAAUGCAUGAGAGCCAAAGUAAUCAAGAAAAAUAUUGAGGUACCAAAUUCAAAAUUUAUGCAUAAUACAAGAAUCAAAAUAGGUAUUAAGCCUUUAAUAUAUGGAUUAAUUCAAUCAAAUAUAUUUCAAACUACAAUCAAAAUUUUAAAUUUUAAUUGAAUUAUUAAAAUAUCAAUAUUAAAUCAAUCAAGUUCUUCCAUCAACCUAACCUAACCUAACCUAACCAUUAGUUUGAGUGUUACAUGAUAAUUCAAAUAUAACAUGAAGCAUAAUUAAAACACAUUAAUCAUAUUAUAAAUAGGCUCAAAACAAAUAAUCUCCUAAUUUUAACGAUUUUUUGAACAUGUUUAAUUAUAUAUGUGCUUACAAUUUGAUUAUGUAAAUUUUACACAAUUUAAAUUGACAUUUAACGUCUAAAUUGACAAAAAAAACCAAUAUAAUAUUAAUGUUAAUAAUUAGCUAAACUUUAUGCUAUCUAAACUCUAAACUAGUGAUAUUUUUGAGUGAUAAUUAUAUCCAAUUUAUUAAUCAACAGUAGUAAAGCUCAAUCAACAUAAGAAUUCAACCCUAAUUAUAAUAUUAUUCACAACACAAAAUAUUUAUUGAUAAAAAAUAUAUAUAUAAUGUUAACACAGUAUACAAGAAUUAUCCACCCACCAUUCUUGUUGAAACUUAAAUAUAAUGGUUGUAACCUGUCUACAGAAAAAUGCAUAUAUAGACAAAUAUGGUAUCAGAGCUUUUGAGUUCAAAUUUUAGCAACUGCUUUUAUCUUUUGUAUUUUCUUCAUUCAAUGUCUUAUUGUAACCAUAUUGCUCUAAACCUGAAAUACAAAAAGAGACCCUAACCUAAAAUCGAAAGUCUAACCCGUUACGUUAAAAGGGAAGGUUACCUCAUUUAUUGUUGUAAUCCCACAAGUUCGUAGCUCUGCAAACUUCCUUUUGGGAUUGAGAAUGUUGUUUGCUUCGUCGGUAAUGACUUAUUUUCGCCAUCGUCUGAUGUAAUCUCGAGGCCACAUGCAUGGCAAAGGGAUUCCACAUCCAAUUCCUAUAAAAACAAUUCCACAUCCAAAUCAAAGUACAUUCAUGUACAAUGCUAAAAUAAAGGAUCUAUGUUAUUCCAACUCUUCUUUUAUUUUGAAGAAUUCGUGUUCACGUAUCUGAAAACUUAGAAAAAAUUGAACAUGCUGAUAUCUGACACUCGUAUUUGAAUCCAAGUAACAUAAUAAAAAAUCUCAAGUGUAGGAAAUAAUACCUUCAUCAUCAAAAGUUUGGACAAUUGUUCCAAAGGAUAAGGAUGAAGCUUGUAGCAACAAUUAUUUAUAUAGGAAAUUGCCAGUGCUCGAACCUGUAAAAAUAUUUGAAAGUGGAAAUGAAAAUUAAAGGGCAAAACACGUACAACAAAUACAAGGAACUUAUCUAUGUUACUUGAACCUGGGUAUAAAUAUUAGACAUAGAUAUGUAUCGGCACAAGCAUUCUCAAAAUUUUUCAUGUAUUUAAAAGGUCCAUGAAAGAUCAUAUCUCAAUACCAAAGACUUGCUAACAUUUAUUAGGAAUUUUUGUAAGAUUUAAAAUUUGAAGGAUAUUAAAAAAAUUGAAGAAUAUUUAACCUAUUUCCAAAUUAUCUUUAAGCUUAAAAAAUGAAAAAUUAUCAUAAAAACAAUCUUACAAUUCCACAAAAAAAUCAUUCUAUUUUGAUUUAGUAUAUGUGAAAAUACUUUUCUAGCAAUUUUUUCGUAUAGUUUACACAUAAAUUGACUAUAACAGAAUUUGUAUAUGCCAACUUUCAUAUCUGGCUUUUUUUUCCUUUGUUUAUUGAAGUACUCAUGUCCAACAUUCGUGUCCGAUAUAUAUCAGGAUAUAGGUAUGGGAUAUCCUCCAAGGACUCAAAUACAUGAAAAGAAAUUUAGGGAAAAGAAAAUGAGCAAACCAAUGUCACACACACUCGAAUCCUGUUAACAUAAGUUUUUAACAUUAUGUCCACAAAGCAUUGUACCACUAUACUCAAUACUAUGGUUGAAAACUAUGUGCAACAAAUCAAAAAAGAAAAUGCCAAAAAAGAGAAAGGUUAUGCAACAAAUGAUGUGGUAGAUUACCUCGUUCACAUGAGGCUCUAUAAUACAGUACUGUAAAUAUGAUGACUCAGUCGAUACGGUACAGAGAAAACGCUUAUAAUUUCCCAUUCGAUAAAAUCUGUAGAGAAAUAAAGAGAUAUCUUAGUUCCCUUCCGAUUUGAGAUUAAUUUCUGAGAAAAUAAUUAAGAAAUUGCAGCAGUAGGCAUUGAGAAACUUCAAGGUUACCUUAGAACUUGCCGGGCAAAAUGCAUUUCUUUAGACUUCAUUACGGGAGAAGGUACAUUGCGAAACCAAUAUGACAACGACUCCUCCUGCAAAUCCGAAGCAGUAGUUCAGAACCAAUAAGGAUGAAAUUAUGGAUGGAGUACAUAGUCAUGAAAACAGUGAAAUACAGAUAUCACCAUUUGUUGGUUCUUUGAAUCGAGGUGAAGAAGCACGUAAAAUGAACGAAACUGCGCUUCAUUCUCGUAAACAAAGUUGUUGUUGCGAUUAGCUUCAUUCUCGUAAACAAAGUUGUUGUUGCGAUUAGCUUCAUACAAAACAUACAGAGAUGCCAAAGCCUUUGUAAGCUGCUCCAUGUUUAGAUAUUGCAAUGACGAAAUACUCGAACUGGUACAGUUUCUGAGCCUUUGGUGAGAGAUUACAUGAAAUUUUACCUGUGGGGUGAAAUAUAUAAAUAUUAUAUAUUGGAUCAAGCUUUUACCUAUGUGGUAAGAACUGAAUCAGAGGUUGAACUGGUUGGACCUCCAAUCCCAGUUCAAUUGGUUGACCCGGGCAAUUCAACCUCUUAGAAAAAGAAUAAAUUAAUCAUUAAAUUUUUUUUAAAUUAAGAAAACUAUAUUUUCAAAAUUCAAAGAUAAACAAUGAACCAAAACACAAUGAAAAAAUCCAAAUCUUUUUGUUAAAAGAUAAAAAAAAAAAUAAAGGAAAAACAAAAAAUCUGGUUUUUUCUAUUCCCAAUUUCCAACUUUUUACUGUUUCAACUUUGUUUUGGCUAAUUCCAGUUAUUUCUCACUGAUUGGACCUUUGAUUCCCGGUUCAACCAACUGGUCUGGCUCAAUUCUGACAACACUGGAUUUUGUUCUAUCUAAGCAAGACUAUUCAAGCUACUCUGCCACAAUACAACCAGAUAUGUUACUCGGAUUUGGACGUAAGCAUUGGAUACAGGCAUGUGUCCCCCACAAGUUCGCUCAAUUGGUUUAAAAUUUUUUCAUGCAUGUGACGAUAUCCCUGUGGAGUCAAAAUCCCACACUCAUGUCCAAAUAUAUGUCAAAUACAAAUAUCAAACAUUGAUACUUCAAGUUAAAUGAAGGGCCAGAGCAACAUAACCAACCGAAACCUACAAUGAUAAAUGAGUUAAAAACACAGUAUCCACCAGAAAGAUACCAUCAUCAAUAAGAUGAAGGAUGUAAGCUUUUUUAAGGUUUAGAAUGCAAUGCAAGUGAGUAGAAUGAAGUAUCAUCAAUAGGCAUAAUUCUGACAUAGAAUCAGGAGAAGAGUAAAUCAAGCAAUACAACAGUUGCUCCAACUCUUCAUUUUUCUUUAAGUUUCUAUGCUUGACACUCAACUCAUAUCUUGACGUGUGAUGAGGAUAUAAUCCUCCAAGGACUCUCAAAAUAUAUGAAUAUCUUGAAAAUUUGAACAUAUCUGUGUCCACCACUCACAAUCAACUUCGAGUAACAUAGGUGCAACUCAUGAUUAUGUUGUUCAGACUAUUCACCUUUCUGUAAGUAUAUGUGUUUGACACUUGUGUCUAAAAUUUGGAUAUAGGUAUGAAAAUGAAAAUACCCAUGUUAGAAACAUUUGUAUCCAACACUUUCACUUGAGUUUGAGUAACAUAGGCUCUUGAUACAACAAAUAUAAAGGUCUAAACAAAAGGCAAAUGUUUAUGGCAAGCAAAUCAUUCCCUCCAAAUAUAAGAAAAUCUUCAAAGAAAAACUUAAUAUACCCAUGUUAGACAAACACACUCCUUAUUCAACACUCUCAUUUGAUUCCAAAUAAUAAAAGGCAUAUGUUCCUGGGCAAGAAUAUCGUACCAUUUUCUCGUACAUGCAAAUUGCUCUAUCAUUGACAAUAUGCUGCAUGCUAAGAUCCUGCCUUAUUGAUCGAGUCCUAUCGAAAAUGAAGUCAUGAACCACUUCGAAAGGAUGUUCACUCGAGUCCAGCAGGUUUAAAAGGUAGUUUAAUGUAUCUUCUAAUACUGCAAGAGGGCGCACAUCCGAUGCUUGGACAUGCUUUACUGAUAUGGUUCUGCAAAACUAGCAAAAGUAAAGGAUUAUCAACAGCCUUCAACAUUCGAUAAAAUGCAUUUAAAUAAUAGAUAUUGUCAUAUUUAAGCAACGGGAUUAAGCAUACAGAUUAACUUCCUUAUUUAUUAAACAUUGCUUUCCACGUGAUUGUGAUUAAUCUAAUAAAGUAGUAGUAGCAUGGUUAUUUUACUCCAACUCUUCAUUUUUAUUUAAGUAUCAAUACAUAAAACUCAGAUUCGACACAUAUCUGGAAAUGGGUAUGGGGAUAUGAUCCUUUAAGGACUCUCUACAUCUGACACUCAAAACAGAGUCCAAGUAACACAGAAUAAAAGUGCACAAGACUCCUAAAUUCUUGGUCGGGGGAUUUAACUGUGAUGUUCAAAUCAUUGGAUAGACCAUGUCUGAAAAUGCAUUGAACACGAAUACUAUGAAAAAUAAAGAGUUAAAAAAACAUAGACACGAUCAGAAUUUUGAUAUCAUGGUAGAUAACAUGCAUGAUUCAUUUUUUAGGAUCAUAUUAAUAGCAAAUCCAUAAACAUAACAACAUAAAAGAUUGAUUAUAUUUAGAAGUACAAAAUUUAUAUAACAUAUGAAUUUGGAUAAAGAAUAUCUGAUGGUUAAUAUCUGCAUUUGCUCCUAAUUUGUUAUGGAUGAUAAUUAUGGUAUCCGAAUCAGCAAAAAAAACAGAUCAAGUAUUUGCGGAUAUCUGAAUCUACGCCAUUACAAGCUGUAAUUUUAUUAACAAUUUAUUAAAGAUGAUAAAUUUCAAUCAACCUCAAAGGCAAUGCACGAAUACCCAUUGUGAACACCUUAAUGAACUACAUAUUAAAAAGCUGUCCAAACAAAUAAAACAACAAAAAUUUUAAAUGCUUGAAAGUACAACAGCUUACCUUUUUGACAGCUAAAGAUGGAGAUGUUUUCCUGGGAUCUCCAUGUAACCUUUCGAAAACAGCUAAAUCUCGUAGGCGUUCCCGCUGAGCCCUCUCCCCAUCUGUUGUAACAAUGAAGAAAAGGUUACAAACUACAUACUUUGAUAAAUAACUAGCAUCUAAGAAGCACAGAUACUUCUCUCAACGCAGUGUACAAGUGUGGGAUACAAUUCCAACACAAUAAAAUAUGUGUCGGAAAAAUAAAAUUAAAAAUUAAAAACAAAGUCGGACACUGUUAAAACAUGAUCAUAACAUGGUUGGACGCGUACGGACAUAUUUUCGGUACUAGAGGUAUCUUGGUAGCUAGCAAUCUAGCAUAAACUAAUUGCUACUUGGUUUCGUAUUUAUGUCUGCAAAGUAAGUUGCAAUUAGAGCUUCAUGUUUCUACCAUUUUCUUCAGCUUCUAGGAACCAACGUUAAGUAACGAAAGUAACAAUCGAGCAAAUUUAUGAAAAAUCAUAAACCAACAUAAAAAAAUACGGAAAACCCAACUUUCAGAACAUUAAAACAAGACUAAAGUUGAUAACUUUUAGCUUCUAAUCACAAAUUUUGAAAUAAUUAAAUGAAUAAAUACCAGGGCACAUGAAAGGGCAAGUUCCAAUUAUAGAACCAACGUCUUCUCUUGCUUCUUGUUCUUCUUGCUGUUGAUUAAUCCCAGCAUAUGUUUCGGAUUUCCGGUUACGGAUAUGGCCGGGAUUUCUAGUAUUGUUAGGGGUAGUUGCAGUGGUAGAAUUGGAACGUGGAACGAAGUUUGAGGAUUGGGUGGUUUUGGUUGGAUUUGUAGAGAAAUUUUGAGACCGGAAACGUGUUGGGCCGGUCGAGGAAGAAGAAGAAAAGGAGGGCUGGUUUCGACGUUGUUGAAGGCGGCGGGUGCUGUCGUCCAUGGCGUCUAUUGCCCGGUUGAGCUUCGGUUUUCACCUUCGACAGCGGUGUUAAUACGGUCACAACAGAUAUAUAAUGCUAAAACGAUGCAACCAAAAGAUUAUUUCACGAUAUUGGUUCGGUGAGCAGGAACCAUUCCGUUGGCUUAGCCGUACUGUAGCAGACUGCUCGAUGUGAGCUACCAAAUGUACGAUCAAAGGAAAAAAAAAACUAGAAAGAAAAGUAAAUUAUCUCUUCAUCCAGAACCCGCAGCCACAAUCCUUCCAAAAAUAAAAAUCAUUACUUGAGACCUCCAUUACCCGAACUCGACAGUUAGGGGUGCCAUACCGGUGUCGACACGGAUCAGAUCCGGCGAAAUCGAAGGACGCGGCGGUGGGAGAACUGAGAAGAAAAAACGAUGAGGAGGAAAGGAAAAAGAAAGGAGGAGGAUACACGGCUGCAGUGGCGAUCGUAGACGAUAUCUGAUAAAGUAGCUGCUGGUGGGAAAGCCCCCAACGGAAGUCGGUCGGCAGUAACAGAGAAGGAAAUAACAUGCACUCGUGACUUUUGGACUGUUAAAAUAUAGCUAUCAUAAAACAAUAUCCAAAAUCAAUUAAAAAAUCAAAAUAUUAUGAGAAUAAUUUUCUUUAAUAUUAAUUAAAAAUUUUGGAAAAAAAAUUAAAAAAUAGGAAUUUUAAAAGUAAUAAAUAAUAUUUAUUAAAAAUUAAUUAAAUUUUUUUCAGAAAAUGAUAAAAUAUCCCUUUUAAAUUUUAAUAAAAACCAUAAAAAUAUUUUUAAUAAAUUCACAAAUAUCAUAUUCAACAAUCGUUCAAUUUUAAAGAUUGAAGACUUUUUUUUAACCAUUUUAAUAAUUUUUUUCAUGUUAUAAAUAUAAAAUUUUGAUAUUUUUUUUCAUGUGAAUCAAUUCUAAAUUUGUUAAAUAAAGAAUUAACUUUUAUGAAAUUUAAUUCAUUAAAAAAUGAGACUAAUCUUACAAUAAAAGAGUUACAAAAUAAGAAUAUACAAUAUGCUAUGUUUUUGGAUGGACGGUAAUUGAGUACAAUGAAAUCUUUUACUUCACAAUUAUAGUAAUUAAAGUUAUUGUCGCCGUUAUUUUUAAUCUUGAGUUGCUAACUUGUCGUUACUAAUCAAUAUGAUUUUUUAAACAUUGGUCACCUAAAAAACAUCUCAACGAAAUACUUUGAUUCCUAAUUAUCUGGAUACUAAACGAAAAAUUAAAAAGAAAUAGAAAAUUAACUAAAAUCAAAAUUUAAAGAAAUCAAAGUAAAAGUUUUAGAUAGAUGAUGCAUUUAGUGACAAAAAAAUUAAAUACGGUAAUUUAAGAUAAAAAGUAAACUAAAUACAUCACACCGAACCGUCCAUCUAAACCCACCAUAGGACUAAUACAAUCACAAUUUUCAAAAAGAUAGAAUAAACUUUAUCUACCAACAACAAGCUUUCAUACAUGGUGACCAACAAAAAGCUUCCACCAAAAGACACAAUCACAAAAUCAAUUGAGAACUAAGAUAAAAAAUUAAAAAAAAAAACCUACUGAUAAAUAUUUUAUUACUAAACUUUGUUUAAUUUAUUUAUUUGAUAUUUGCAAAUAUUUUUUAUAUUUUAAAAAAAACUGACCACCUUAACCCUUUUUUAUCUUCAAAAAUAUCAAACUAGGAUCCACCUUGACCCCAUACAUACAUACAUACGUGCAUACAUACAUGCAUACAUACAUGCAUACAAUAAUGGAUUAGAUGAUUUGAUACACAAAAAUAACUAAAAGAAAUAUAAUGAUCUAAAAGAAAUACAAAUAUGAUAAGAACAUAUCAAAUAUAUCAAACAAUGAUUGAAACCAUAUAGCAUUAAUUAAAACAAAAAUAGCCAUUGUUAUUGGUACCUAUGCAAAUACUGCUCCAUAAAAAAUCAAUGAGAAGUAGAAUAUUUUAUAUCAAUAUAUAAAGCUAACUGCUGUAGAAAACAUUUGUUAUGGAAACCUCUAUGGCAUAGCAGAAGUCAGAAUGUAGGAACUAAGAGAGGUUGGUUUCGUUACACAUGUUGUAGCUCACGCAGGUUCCAAGAUGUGUUAAGACGAUUCCCUCUUGAAGAUAUAUCACUUCUCGGCCCCGUCGGGGUAUUUAAUCAAGUGACUAAGCUGUGCUUUUCUUGCUUCUA
Molecule: long non-coding RNA, 15476 nt
Filed under: Gossypium barbadense (sea-island cotton)
Lineage: Eukaryota; Viridiplantae; Streptophyta; Magnoliopsida; Malvales; Malvaceae
Description: long non-coding RNA (GBAR_LNC005753)
Source: RNAcentral